UAGGGAAUCUUCCACAAUGGACGGAAAGUCGUGAGUGGAGCAACGCCGCGUGAGUGAAGAAGGGUUUCGGCUCGUAAAACUCUGUUGUUAAAGAAGAACAUAUCUGAGAGUAACUGUUCAGGUAUUGACGGUAUUUAACCAGAAAGCCACGGCUAACUACGUGCCAC
This 167-nucleotide ribosomal RNA is filed under the name uncultured bacterium. Its description in RNAcentral is "partial 16S rRNA". It matches the Rfam family "Bacterial small subunit ribosomal RNA", at positions 355 to 511 of the family's 1533-position model. The record is from RNAcentral.